Molecule: long non-coding RNA, 458 nt
Filed under: Homo sapiens (human)
Lineage: Eukaryota; Metazoa; Chordata; Mammalia; Primates; Hominidae
Description: HSALNT0292286
Source: RNAcentral
UGAGCCAUUGAUGGCGGUUCCACCAGGCCUAAUCGCCACACACCAGCAAAGGCAGGCUAUGCUAUAGUACAAGCCACAAGCCUGCCUCUUAAAACCUCUCAUUUUCUUUCCAUCAUGGAAAUCUAUCCUCAAGGAAAUAACCUCUCAGUGUUCCAUCUGCUAUUCUACUACUCCUCAGGGAUUAUUCAGGCCCCCUCCCUUCCCUACACAUCAAGCUCGAAGAUUUGCCCCCACCCAGGACUGGCAAAUUAGCUUUACUCAACAUGCCCCGAGUCAGAUAACUAAAAUACCUCUUAGUCUAGGUAGACACUUUCACUGGAUAAGUAGAGGCCUUUCCUACAGGGUCUGAGAAGGCCACCGCAGUCAUUUCUUCCCUUCUGUCAGACAUAAUUCCUCAGGUUAGCCUUCCUACCUCUAUACAGUCUGAUAACAGACCAGCCUUUAUUAGUCAAAUCAGC